GAAAUGGACAUCGAGGGAUCUCUCCAACGUUGCUUCGACUACCUCAAAGUGAUUCAUCAGAAAUACUGUGGGACGUCACCCAGGACAAUCACAGUGCCUGGUGUCGAAGGCGGUCUGAUUAUUGACUUCCACACCGACGGCAGUGAGGCGCGAAAGGGUUUCAAGGCGCAUUAUGAAUUUAUUCAACAAUAGAAAACAAGGCUUUACAGCAAGAAGUUCUGUCAUGCAGUCCCAAGGCGAUUGAUAUGCUGCAUCUUUUGGUAUGGAAACCUAUCAUGAGUAAUAAAAUACUUUGAAUACAUACUUAUAUUACUCUCGUUUAUCAAUCGUUAAAAACAAAAAAAUGGUAAAACAAUCAAUUAACCGCCGAAUCUACAAUCUUAAGAUAAAGCUGACAAUGGUGACCACAUAUCUGCGUUAUUAAGGAUCCAUUCAUUGACACUGUUUAUCCACAAUACUAUGAACAUUCCAACCUAAUUGAACAUUCAUGCAUUCUUCUCUUUCUUCAUCCACACAAUGUGCUCCUUUACAUUUACGAUAUGUUCUCCAACUAGACAUACAUGCAUUCUUCUUUCCUCUAUUCGCACAUCCUUCGCUUCCUUUAUGCAUGCAUUAUUUUCCUUUAUCAUCCAAAACUGGCUCCCAGAAGAGAUAUCGCUUGGGUGAGAUCAAGCCAUAUCUACACUGUAGAUAUCUAUCUA
Long non-coding RNA from Haliotis rufescens (red abalone), 701 nucleotides. RefSeq lists it as uncharacterized. NCBI's taxonomy places the organism in Eukaryota, Metazoa, Mollusca, Gastropoda, Lepetellida, Haliotidae. The record is from RefSeq and is a predicted model, not a curated record. The transcript has 3 exons.